This is a long non-coding RNA of Catharus ustulatus (Swainson's thrush), 556 nucleotides long. RefSeq lists it as uncharacterized. The transcript is spliced from 4 exons. The record is from RefSeq and is a predicted model, not a curated record. NCBI's taxonomy places the organism in Eukaryota, Metazoa, Chordata, Aves, Passeriformes, Turdidae.
UGCAACAUUCAAAGCCUUACAGGACUGAGGUGCUUCUAGCUGGGCAAAGAGGAGAGGUGAGGCUUAAAUCCUGACGCAUACCUAAAAGCUAGACUUUAAUUAAGGUCACUUGAAUAUGGGAAGUAGCUGACUGCUGGCGGAUCAAGUAGCUCCACUCAAAUCGACCUAUCCAUGUCAAGGCAGGCAAAAGCUCCAGCAGCUCUGCAUCCAGUGGGACAAGACAUCAGAAGAUGGCCGUGCCACUCAUGGAUCCCAAGGCAGCAGCUCCAAUCUGUGCUGAGCCUUAGAGCUCUCUCCCAUCUGUUUCAGGGCUAAGUUCAUGGUAUAAGCAAGUGGAGAUCAAAGCACUGCAGUCCCACAAGCAAGCGAGCAUUUGUCUCUUGAACUGCACAAGGAAGCACUGGAAGGCUGACAAAGAAUCAUGCUGCUGCAGGGCUGGGGCCAGAACUCCGCAGAGAUGAACCACUCCAAAUUGCUUCAAGGGACACCAGAUCACAUUUUGGAAGGUGGAUUGUUAGGUGAGCUGCACAAACCCACCUGGACAGCUUAGGACUGG